AGUGAACGCUGGCUGUAGGCCUAACACAUGCAAGUCGAACGGCAGCACAGUAAGAGCUUGCUCUUACGGGUGGCGAGUGGCGGACGGGUGAGGAAUACAUCGGAAUCUACUUUUUCGUGGGGGAUAACGUAGGGAAACUUACGCUAAUACCGCAUACAACCUACGGGUGAAAGCAGGGGAUCUUCGGACCUUGCGCGAUUGAAUGAGCCGAUGUCGGAUUAGCUAGUUGGCGGGGUAAAGGCCCACCAAGGCGACGAUCCGUAGCUGGUCUGAGAGGAUGAUCAGCCACACUGGAACUGAGACACGGUCCAGACUCCUACGGGAGGCAGCAGUGGGGAAUAUUGGACAAUGGGCGCAAGCCUGAUCCAGCCAUACCGCGUGGGUGAAGAAGGCCUUCGGGUUGUAAAGCCCUUUUGUUGGGAAAGAAAAGCAGCAGGUUAAUACCCCGCUGUUCUGACGGUACCCAAAGAAUAAGCACCGGCUAACUUCGUG
RNAcentral lists this ribosomal RNA (492 nucleotides) under uncultured bacterium. RNAcentral describes it as "partial 16S ribosomal RNA". It matches the Rfam family "Bacterial small subunit ribosomal RNA", at positions 29 to 507 of the family's 1533-position model. The record is from RNAcentral.